AAAACGCUGUCAUUGCUCGUCUUGGCUGAACGGUGUUCAAGAAGUACAUGUACUACCUAGUGAAGUAUUUACGGAGCAUUUUAUAACCAACUGGCCUCAAAAACUUUAUUAGCCUCCACAGUGUAGUAACUGAUUCAGCAUGGAAGCUGAAAAGAAAUCCAGACAACCCUUACAGGUAGAAGGUCGUGAGGAAAAUGCCAACAAAGUUGAACAAGCAAAACGUACGCACAGUAUGCAGGUAUGGUGAGUUUCAAGGAUUGGUAACUUAGUAGUAGCAGCUGGCUUUUAUCUCAACUAAAUGAAGGCGAAACUAUGGAUAGAUACAGACGUGGCAAUUUGUACUGGUCAGCAUGUGGAUGCCUACAGAAAUUCGCUUGGGCUUCAAACACGAUCAUGCAAAUGGAAAUUUGGAUUGGAUAGAACGGAAGUGCGUUUCAGCAACUGCCAAUGAUGGCUCCUCUAGCAGACAAGGUGUACUGGUACUACGGUGUUCAUGAUCGGCAACUCUUGUACUUUUUGAAGAUGAAGUAUUGAGAUAAGAAGAAAUUCGAAGGACACGGAUGUCGUGCAAGGAGCACCAGACUGCCGUUCAUUACCUUGAUACUUCAUCAUUGCAUCUGUCUGUUUGCCG
Acanthaster planci (crown-of-thorns starfish) is the source of this 631-nucleotide long non-coding RNA. RefSeq lists it as uncharacterized. The record is from RefSeq and is a predicted model, not a curated record. NCBI's taxonomy places the organism in Eukaryota, Metazoa, Echinodermata, Asteroidea, Valvatida, Acanthasteridae.